This 29-nucleotide non-coding RNA is filed under the name Mus musculus (house mouse). Lineage: Eukaryota; Metazoa; Chordata; Mammalia; Rodentia; Muridae. The record is from RNAcentral.
UGAUUAUGCAUUGUCUUCUCUUUUACUGU